Molecule: long non-coding RNA, 827 nt
Organism: Talpa occidentalis (Iberian mole)
Lineage: Eukaryota; Metazoa; Chordata; Mammalia; Eulipotyphla; Talpidae
Exons: 4
Source: RefSeq, a predicted model, not a curated record
UGUAAGCAAGUGUUCAGGGAUCAGGAGCGGGCAGUGCCGAAGCCACCAGGAGCAGGCGUCAUUUUAAAAUCAUCAACAAGAAAUUUUUACAAGUUAGGUUAUGGGCAAUCAAUCGCAAGCAAAUGACUGCAGGAUGUGCCCUGGGGGGAGCCGAGUGAGAGGGACAGGGCUGCGGCUCGCUGGCAUCCACACUAUGCCUCCACCCCUCUUCUCUCCCGAUGCCUCCAAGACCAGCAUGACUCCUGGAACUAGUUUGUUCUGUGGCGACUACUGGGAAGAUGACAGUGUUCUCAGAUCCUGACGAUUCAAACUGAAUGAUAAUAUUUGAAGAUUGAACACCUCUUUGGUGCUUUUACUCCUUUGAGCUGGCACCAGGCCCAGGGCUGGACAUUCACAAGGUGCUCACGAAAUAGGAGCCGAGAGAAGCUCUGAGGAUGGAACAAAUCCAUGGUGUGCAAAGUCAGUGCCAAGUGAAGGCAUCUCUGAAGACAAGAAGCAUCUUCUUCCUCUCCCCAAAGCAAGGUGGUCCAGUGGGGGAAGGGGAAAUUGGAGAGAUUAUGUACCAGGAAACACUAUUGUCUGACUAAACCAAAGAUUUGGAAACCAUUUCACAGUUUCAUUGAUUUAUCAAAGCAUUUUUAAUUUGGAACCGACUUUCCCCUUUUCUAUUUUCAUUCUUAAUUUUCACAUGAAGUGAGAAAGUCUAUUUUAAAAUCAUUUCAAAAUUUCCUAACACAUUCUAGAAGCUAUUUUGGAGAAGUGGCAUUCCCAGUAGAAUAAAGUAGAUUGAGUAAAUGCUAAAUGUGCAUAUUAAAAAAGAGAUUGCU